AACGAACGCUGGCGGCAUGCCUAACACAUGCAAGUCGAACGGGAUCCUAGCUUGCUAGGUGAGAGUGGCGGACGGGUGAGUAACACGUGGGAAUCUGCCUUUUGGUUCGGGAUAACCGCGGGAAACUGCGGCUAAUACCGAAUGCCCUCGUGAGAGGAAAGAUUUAUCGCCAGAAGAGGAGCCCGCGUCCGAUUAGGUAGUUGGUGGGGUAAAGGUCUACCAAGCCGACGAUCGGUAGCUGGUCUGAGAGGAUGAUCAGCCACACUGGGACUGAGAUACGGCCCAGACUCCUACGGGAGGCAGCAGUGGGGAAUAUUGGACAAUGGGGGCAACCCUGAUCCAGCAAUGCCGCGUGAGUGAUGAAGGCCUUAGGUUGUAAAGCUCUUUUGCCAGGGAAGAUGAUGACUGUACCUGGAGAAUAAGCCCGGCUAACUUCGUGCCAGCAGCCGCGGUAAU
RNAcentral lists this ribosomal RNA (456 nucleotides) under uncultured bacterium. RNAcentral's name for it is "bacterial SSU rRNA". It matches the Rfam family "Bacterial small subunit ribosomal RNA", at positions 29 to 524 of the family's 1533-position model. The record is from RNAcentral.